ACAAAGUUUGCUUACGCCUUAAGUACAGUAUAUAUGAAUCUCCGCCAUAGCUAGGGUUUGGGUUUUACCUUCAAGUUUUAUUAAUCCAACUCAACACUCACGCAAAUGGACACUUCUUUGAGAUAUGGUGGAGAUUCCAGCGCUCUCAGGAUCGCCACUAAGAACAAUCCUCCUACGGUGAAGUACGCUGGAGAUGUCAGCGCCCUCAAAAUCCAUGUUAAACAGAAGCUCCGUAUCGAUUCCAACACUCUACUUCAGCUUAAUGGAGAGCUUGAUACAGGGAAAGGGGCUCCGACAUUCUUUUGUGCACUUGUUAGACACUUCUAUCCUGAUCUGUCAGCUAGUCUUGGAGCUGGAUUGCAUUAUGAUAGAAAUGACAAACUCCAUUGCACCGUGCGUGGGAAAAAGGCGUAUCCAGUGGCAUCCAAUCGGUUUGUCAACUUUGUCCUCAAAGGCCGUUGUGACAUUGACAAAGAGUUGGAGCCAACACCAAAUGGAGCUCUCGAGUUGGUAUGGAACAUUCUAGAUUUCCAGAAGGAUCAAGAUGUAAGGCUCAAGGUUGGCUAUGAAAUCGUUGACAAGAUUCCGUAUGUACAAAUCAGGGAAAACAAUUGGACAUUUAAUGCGGAUAUUAAUGGAAGAUGGAAUGUGAGAUACAACCUAUGAGACUAAGAACUGAUUAUAUUGUUUUCUAACUGGCCAGAUAUCAGUUGCAAGAAAAAAGAGAGAGAAAUCGAUGUGUAGGAUGAGUGUCUUGGGGAACACAAAGUCGUCUCUAUAUGAGUAUAUGUUAGCUUUCACAUUGUAGGUAAGCUAUCCUUAUUUUGUAGGUUGAGUUUAAAUAAAGUUAAAAAGUUGAUGAGGCUUUACCUGUUAACAUAUAAUCUUCAGGGUAAGUUUAUGAUUUAGGUGGAAAGUUCAUGGGCUUUUCUGG
Cynara cardunculus var. scolymus (artichoke) is the source of this 934-nucleotide RNA transcript. It is a transcript of the gene named outer envelope pore protein 21B, chloroplastic, with no coding region annotated. NCBI's taxonomy places the organism in Eukaryota, Viridiplantae, Streptophyta, Magnoliopsida, Asterales, Asteraceae. The record is from RefSeq and is a predicted model, not a curated record. The transcript is spliced from 6 exons.